UGUUCGUUAUUUAGGGCGCAUGGUGGAUGCCUUGGCAUGCUGAGCCGAUGAAGGACGUGAAAGGCUGCGUUAAGCCUCGGGGAGUUGUCAAUUGAGCGUUGAUCCGAGGAUGUCCGAAUGGGGAAACCUGGCACCUGUUAUGGGGUGUUACC
This 152-nucleotide ribosomal RNA is filed under the name Corynebacterium striatum. Its description in RNAcentral is "partial 23S ribosomal RNA". It matches the Rfam family "Bacterial large subunit ribosomal RNA", at positions 1 to 152 of the family's 2925-position model. Lineage: Bacteria; Bacillati; Actinomycetota; Actinomycetes; Mycobacteriales; Corynebacteriaceae. The record is from RNAcentral.